AAUGAACGUUGGCGACGUGCCUAACACAUGCAAGUCGAGCGCGAAAGUUCUUCGGAAUGAGUAGAGCGGCGAACGGGUGAGUAAUGCGUGAGAAUCUACCUUUUAGUGAAGAAUACCCUUGAGAAAUUAAGGUUAAUACUGCAUACGUCUCGAAAGAGAGAAAGAUGGCCUUGUUGCUGUCGCUAAAAGAUGAGCUUGCGUUCUAUUAGCUAGUUGGUGAGGUAACGGCUCACCAAGGCGACGAUGCGUAGCCGACCUGAGAGGGUGAUCGGCCACACUGGGACUGAGACACGGCCCAGACUCCUACGGGAGGCAGCAGUAGGGAAUCUUCGGCAAUGGGCGAAAGCCUGACCGAGCAACGCCGCGUGAGUGAUGAAGGCUUUCGGGUCGUAAAACUCUGUUGUUAGGGAAGAACAAGUACGAGAGUAACUGCUCGUACCUUGACGGUACCUAACCAGAAAGCCACGGCUAACUACGUGCCAGCCGCCGCGGUAA
This 495-nucleotide ribosomal RNA is filed under the name uncultured bacterium. RNAcentral's name for it is "partial 16S ribosomal RNA". It matches the Rfam family "Bacterial small subunit ribosomal RNA", at positions 29 to 523 of the family's 1533-position model. The record is from RNAcentral.